RNAcentral lists this ribosomal RNA (113 nucleotides) under Rhinotermes hispidus. Lineage: Eukaryota; Metazoa; Arthropoda; Insecta; Blattodea; Rhinotermitidae. The record is from RNAcentral.
UAUGGCCGUGCCAGGUAGACUGCACCGAUUCUCAUUAGUUUACCUGAGUUAAGCAACCUUGGGCGUGGUUAGUACUUCGAUGGGUAACCGCUUGGGAACACCACGUGCUGCUG